Molecule: long non-coding RNA, 1847 nt
Filed under: Gallus gallus (chicken)
Lineage: Eukaryota; Metazoa; Chordata; Aves; Galliformes; Phasianidae
Description: lncRNA (ENSGALG00010015805.1)
Source: RNAcentral
CACAGAGCUAAUUUAGGGGUAGCAAGCUCAGGGAUGCAGGCUCCCAGCUUACAAAUCUUUCAGUAGCUCUGCUCACAUUAUGAUAUAUUUACAAGGCAUAGCACUUGUCCACAGAGAAAAGGAAAUAGAGGAGAUCUAAGAGAUGAUGAUCUUUCCCUGUGCUCUGACGUUAUUUCUCACCUAUGGCAGUUACUUUUCUGCUAGUAGCAGCUAUCGCUAUUUCUGUAGCACAAAGUAAAAUAGAACGAACAUUAGGGAUGUAUUGUAGGACACCAGAUCUGACAUCCUUACAACAUUCUUUCUAGCCACAGUGACAAGUGGAAUGGAAAACACGAGGUAUUUAGCUCUGCCAUUAUGAAGGAGCAACACCAGGAGCAACAUCUUACAAUAGGGCAGAACAACUCUGCUUAAUACAUUUUUAAAGACUAUAUUCAUCUAGGAAGACUAUCAAUAAUUAAGAGAAGAAAACAAUAUUAUUAUGGAAAUUAAAGUCCUCUGGGUCUGUGAGAACUUGGUGUUUCCUGAUGACACACUGGCAUCCCUUCCGGCAUCAGGACAAGCAGCACAGAGAGCAAGAGACAUUGGUACCUCAAAUAGGGACCUGCUCGAUACAGGCUGGUGCACAGGGCUGAUGCUCUGUAAUGCAAGAUAUGCUGGCCAAAGAUUUUUCACAUUUUUUAAGGGUUUAUUAUUAUUAUUAUUAUUAUUAUUAUUAUUAUUAUUUGCUAUUCACAUUAAGCAACAAGAAAUCCUCCCUCCUUGUCCUUGGGACAAUGAGACUUGCCAGGCUCUACACACCUUCAUGCACACUGCUGACAGUGAUGGUAGUCAGCGGACAUCUUGCUGGAUUUCAAAUCUUCAAUGCAAUUCAUGAUAACAUGAGAGUUUCCCAGUACUCAGCACUGACCUCUCUUUCGCUGAGGGCCAGGGCAGACUCUGGGCACGUCAAGAUGUGCUAGUGAUGGGAAAACCCAUUGCUGCUUUGAUGCCCUUAUGGAGGUAAAUCAUAGGGAACAGAGUAGUGCCAUAGGAGGAAAUGGCUUACUUCUCUGAGUUUCUUAACAUCAAACCAUUUCCUUUGGACUGAACUAGGUCUGGCAGUAUUCAUCUAGUCUAUGAAAGAAAGAGUGCACAGCGAAAAACCACUGAUGCCCCAGCACCACACUACCAGCAAAGACUAGAGGCACCAACAAGCCUAUUCUUAUGUAGUUUUUCUCUUUCUUUCCUUCACACCCAAUUCCCACUCCUUUAAAGCAAUGCUAGGAUGAGUGCUAUAUCUGAAGCACGUCAGUGACAGAGUGGCCACCAGAAAUUGAAUUGCCACUCGUCAGUAAGUCUGACACGAAUGAUUGAGCACCGGUAUUCCUGGCUCAGUUCAACAGUAAAAUGUCUCCACUCAGACGAGAUCCAGAAAGCCACUGAGCUACCUUAAUGCAUUUGCCUGUGCCCUUAAAUGCUGCAAGAGUAAAAGAUUCCAGCCUUUUCAUACAAGUUUUGCAUCUAUGGAAACUUUUCCUGGUGUCUCCACUGUAUCAGCAGCAAUAUACAAGCUCCACAAGGCAUUGCUUGAGCUUUAAAUGUGGCUGCCUCCUCUCUAAGUGAUGCACAAAAGGACAGGUCUGUUAGGUCUUAGGACCUUGUGGCCUUCCAGUGUCUCCAGUAGAAACCAGUACCCUUAACUCAGGAUGGUUAGUCACUAAGCAAUUCCAGUUCCAGCUCAGGCUUGUUUUCCUGCAGGGAAGGAAGAGUUAAUGCUAUCAUAAUGCUUCCCCAGGGUGGCUAGGUUGUUAUCCUAGGGUGGGUGCUUUAUGGUCAAUAAGUAUCUUCUGUGCUACUCACAGUGCCAC